GCCCUCUACAAAGGACCUGUGCAGCCCACGGAACAACUCCGCAGUUCUCAGCUUGGAGAAAGGAAGGGGAGAAGGGGUCUUCUGGCCCACCAAGUCGAGGGACAUUGAGGAAGUAAUGAAUCUGUGAUGCGUCCAGAAGAAAAUUCACCCUCUGGGAAAAUGAGCUUCCGUAUUCAUGCUUGGUGUAUCUCCAGCAGUAUCUGCUCUACCUCCAAACAACACUGCAAUUAUUUUUUUUCACCCCGUGGGUGAAAAACCGCUGCCCUAUCUCCCUCAUUUAUUGACUCACACUCCUCCCACAAAACUACAGUGUUGAGGGAUCAGUAACAGAAAUGUUCAAGAAGGCCACACUUGUCUUUAUCACUAAUAUGUGACAUGUAAGAUGGCUUGAAGGAAGUACUGAAAUUAACACCCAGAUGUAAAAGAAUACCCGAAGAUGCCUAGCUGGACAUUGCUAAUACCAACAUUGCAACAGAUCAAUUUGGACAUAAAGCAAACUAUUCAAUAGGGAAGCUAACUAAUAUUCUCUAAUUAGUUAUAAUGAGCAUUUUAAUAGUCUAUGCUGUAUAAAAACAUGUUUAAAUUGAUAUUUAAAAUACACAGCUUCCUAUUCUUUGAAUUAAAUAUUUAAUGUUAUUUUUCCUUAUAGACAAAAAGUUACCUUGAGUCUGCUGGUUUUACAAAAUGAAUUGAAAAUGGAAAUAAAUGUUCCCGUUUAGGCCCCAUUUAAGAGUCACUAGAUUUAGUGUUUAGCUUUUAAUAAAAAUUAUUGCACCCUCUAAUUGGCUGUAAAUUAGGUCCUGUUCUCAUAUUUUACAUCUGUAGAUACCGACAGUUCUUAAACAGUGGAAAUUUUGUGCACAUUCAUAUAAUCUGCUGAAAGUAUAAACAAUGAAAAACGUGGCUGGAAUUUAUUCAUAUUUUUGUACUGACAGAUGAGGCAUUUCAGUUUCAGCUGAAUGAAAGGAUUUUUAAUGGAUUAAUUUAAAGCCAGCACUGGAAUUAUGCAAAAAGAAA
This 1017-nucleotide long non-coding RNA is filed under the name Homo sapiens (human). RNAcentral describes it as "HSALNT0335387". Lineage: Eukaryota; Metazoa; Chordata; Mammalia; Primates; Hominidae. The record is from RNAcentral.